Molecule: ribosomal RNA, 707 nt
Filed under: uncultured bacterium
Lineage: Bacteria
Description: bacterial SSU rRNA
Rfam family: Bacterial small subunit ribosomal RNA
Source: RNAcentral
AUUAGAUACCCUGGUAGUCCGCACGGUAAACGAUGGAUGCCCGCCGUUGGGUAUUUUUAUUCAGUGGCCAAGCGAAAGCGUUAAGCAUCCCACCUGGGGAGUACGCCGGCAACGGUGAAACUCAAAGGAAUUGACGGGGGCCCGCACAAGCGGAGGAACAUGUGGUUUAAUUCGAUGAUACGCGAGGAACCUUACCCGGGCUCAAACGCGGCGUGAAUACUUUUGAAAGGAGGUAGUCAGCAAUGACACGCCGCGAGGUGCUGCAUGGUUGUCGUCAGCUCGUGCCGUGAGGUGUCGGCUUAAGUGCCAUAACGAGCGCAACCCCUACCGUCAGUUGCCAACAGGUAAGGCUGGGGACUCUGACGGGACUGCCGGCGCAAGCUGCGAGGAAGGCGGGGAUGACGUCAAAUCAGCACGGCCCUUACGUCCGGGGCGACACACGUGUUACAAUGGGGCAUACAGAGAGUUGGUCAUGCGCAAGCAUGAUCGGAUCAUGAAAGUGUCCCUCAGUUCGGACUGGGGUCUGCAACCCGACCCCACGAAGCUGGAUUCGCUAGUAAUCGCGCAUCAGCCAUGGCGCGGUGAAUACGUUCCCGGGCCUUGUACACACCGCCCGUCAAGCCAUGAAAGCCGGGGGCGCCUGAAGUCCGUGACCGCGAGAGGCGGCCUAGGGUGAAACCGGUGAUUGGGGCUAAGUCGUAACAAGG